CUCCGCCUUGGCGACGCCGUACUCUACUGCCGCCAUAUCCAUCUUGGGUCCCUUCUUCAUUCCUCCAAAAUAAAAAACAUUCCUGAGCCUUAUACAUGUGGGGCACGUAAUGAACGUUCUUGAAUAUUCUUUUUUUGAUUAGUCGAUUCAUGAAUAUUUCUUGUCUUGGUGAUGCCCUUCAAUUCAAGGAUAUAUGGUAUAAAAAGGCGCUUCAGCUUUUAGGAAGUCAAACUCAGACAUAUCUAGAAGAGUCUUAUCAGACGGAAGGAAGUGGACUAAUAUUCUUCUUGCAGCCAAUGUAUUAAAAAUCUCCAGCAAUCUAUUGAGUGGACUAUAACAUAUUCUUCAAUAUUUCAAGGAGGGAAGAAAGCUCAUCUUCAAGAAUUUUCUGUGAAUUGGAUGAUUACAGUGCUAGAUGAUGGAAAUCAAACAAAGGAAAACAGCUUCUAUGUUUUGUUCAAGAAUAAAUGAAGAAUGCGAUGGAGAGUGUACAAGAUCUGAUUGAAGAGGCUAAGCUUCGAACACUUUGGUGGCAUUAUGUAUAUUUGCUGUCUCUUCUUGCCGCGUAAGCUCCAGUUUCUUCUUUUUUGUUUCGUCAAAUGUAAAUUUUAAAUGUUUGUUUCCCCCCUUGUUUUAGCCACUAAAUUGCAUAAGUAACGGUAUUUUCUUGUUUAAAUAUAAAUUCAUUUCAGCUGCAAUGUAAUGAUUAGCUGGUGUUGAAAUUAAGAAAUUAUGGGGUUGAUAUUUGUGAA
Molecule: long non-coding RNA, 752 nt
Organism: Olea europaea var. sylvestris
Lineage: Eukaryota; Viridiplantae; Streptophyta; Magnoliopsida; Lamiales; Oleaceae
Exons: 6
Source: RefSeq, a predicted model, not a curated record